RNAcentral lists this ribosomal RNA (478 nucleotides) under uncultured bacterium. RNAcentral's name for it is "partial 16S ribosomal RNA". It matches the Rfam family "Bacterial small subunit ribosomal RNA", at positions 28 to 523 of the family's 1533-position model. The record is from RNAcentral.
GACGAACGCUGGCGGCGUGCUUAACACAUGCAAGUCGAGCGAUGAAGCUUCUUCGGAAGUGGAUUAGCGGCGGACGGGUGAGUAACACGUGGGUAACCUGCCUCAUAGAGGGGAAUAGCCUUCCGAAAGGAAGAUUAAUACCGCAUAAGAUUGUAAUAUCGCAUGAUAUAGCAAUUAAAGGAGCAAUCCGCUAUGAGAUGGACCCGCGUCGCAUUAGCUAGUUGGUGAGGUAACGGCUCACCAAGGCGACGAUGCGUAGCCGACCUGAGAGGGUGAUCGGCAACAUUGGGACUGAGCCACGGCCCAGACUCCUACGGGAGGCAGCAGUGGGGAAUAUUGCACAAUGGGGGAAACCCUGAUGCAGCAACGCCGCGUGAGUGAUGACGGUCUUCGGAUCGUAAAGCUCUGUCUUUAGGGACGAUAAUGACGGUGCCUAAGGAGGAAGCCACGGCUAACUACGUGCCAGCCGCCGCGGUAA